Molecule: ribosomal RNA, 399 nt
Filed under: Chrysochromulina parva
Lineage: Eukaryota; Haptophyta; Prymnesiales; Chrysochromulinaceae
Description: partial small subunit ribosomal RNA
Rfam family: Eukaryotic small subunit ribosomal RNA
Source: RNAcentral
GCUUGUCUCAAAGAUUAAGCCAUGCAUGUCUAAGUAUAAACUAAUUUAUACGGUGAAACUGCGAAUGGCUCAUUAAAUCAGUUAUAGUUUAUUUGAUGGUUGAUUACUACGUGGAUAACCGUGGUAAUUCUAGAGCUAAUACAUGCCUACAAGCCCGACUUCUGGAAGGGUGGUAUUUAUUAGAUAAGAAACCUUCCCCUUUGGGUUGCGUGCCGAGUCACAAUAACUGCUCGAAUCGCAUGGCUUCACGCCGGCGAUGGUUCAUUCAAAUUUCUGCCCUAUCAGCUUUCGAUGGUAGGAUCGAGGCCUACCAUGGCGUUUACGGGUAACGGAGAAUUAGGGUUCGAUUCCGGAGAGGGAGCCUGAGAGAUGGCUACCACAUCCAAGGAAGGCAGCAGG